UACAGAGGGUGCGAGCGUUGUUCGGGAUUAUUGGGCGUAAAGCGCUUGUAGGCGGCUUGUUAAGUCCUGUGUGAAAGCCCUAGGCUUAACCUAGGAACUGCAUCUGAUACUGGAUGGCUUGAGUUUGGGAGAGGGAUGCGGAAUUCCAGGUGUAGCGGUGAAAUGCGUAGAUAUCUGGAGGAACACCGGUGGCGAAGGCGGCAUCCUGGACCAACACUGACGCUGAGGAGCGAAAGCCAGGGGAGCAAACGGG
Molecule: ribosomal RNA, 253 nt
Filed under: uncultured bacterium
Lineage: Bacteria
Description: partial 16S ribosomal RNA
Rfam family: Bacterial small subunit ribosomal RNA
Source: RNAcentral